UGGGGAAUUUUGGACAAUGGGCGCAAGCCUGAUCCAGCAAUGCCGCGUGCAGGAUGAAGGCCUUCGGGUUGUAAACUGCUUUUGUACGGAGCGAAAAGGUCUGCCCUAAUACGGUGGGCUCAUGACGGUACCGUAAGAAUAAGCACCGGCUAACUACGUGCCAGCAGCCGCGGUAAUACGUAGGGUGCGAGCGUUAAUCGGAAUUACUGGGCGUAAAGCGUGCGCAGGCGGUUAUAUAAGACAGGUGUGAAAUCCCCGGGCUCAACCUGGGACCUGCAUUUGUGACAGUAUAGCUAGAGUACGGUAGAGGGGGAUGGAAUUCCGCGUGUAGCAGUGAAAUGCGUAGAUAUGCGGAGGAACACCGAUGGCGAAGGCAAUCCCCUGGACCUGUACUGACGCUCGUGCACGAAAGCGUGGGGAGCAAACA
This 427-nucleotide ribosomal RNA is filed under the name uncultured bacterium. Its description in RNAcentral is "bacterial SSU rRNA". It matches the Rfam family "Bacterial small subunit ribosomal RNA", at positions 355 to 774 of the family's 1533-position model. The record is from RNAcentral.